Molecule: long non-coding RNA, 7123 nt
Organism: Lagenorhynchus albirostris (white-beaked dolphin)
Lineage: Eukaryota; Metazoa; Chordata; Mammalia; Artiodactyla; Delphinidae
Exons: 2
Source: RefSeq, a predicted model, not a curated record
CGAGCGCAGAGGCAGCUGUGAGGGAGGAGGCGCUGCCUGAGGAGACCACAGAUAAGUUUUUCUGCUAAGAUAGAUAGGAUUAGUAUAAUUCUGUAGGAAUUAUAAAUAGAAUAGUGAGAUACUGCUUUGCAUUAAAUUCUUAGAGUAACUUUGAUAACUUAAGAUUAUUUUAGGGGAAAUAUGAAGACUUAAAGAGUAGGUUGAGAAAGGAAGAAAAAUAAUUUUAGAACAUGGCGGAGGUUAGGAGCUGAAACUUCUUCAUGGAGUGAAAAAACUAAUUUUAAAAGGAAUUGCUGAAAGAAAUAGGACUGCACAGUACGGAAUUUUCUUAAAUGAAAGGCAGCCUUUUAGAUUAACGUUAAAACGUAGGGUGACAUAAACAGAACCUAAACCUAACCGUCAUUUAAAAAAGUCAUAGUUGUAGAGGAUUAAAAUUCUUUAAAAGCCGUCUUUUAAGAAAAUUAACUGAAGGUGAUUUAAGAAACAUGCCUUCAAAUUCAUGGCGCAAUAAAAAUUGCGACAUUUGAAGCCUACUUGAUUAUAAGGGCUUUAUUUGCUAAAGCCGACGGAAAUAAUAAUUAGGGAUGGUAGGAUAAAGAUUUUGAGAAAGAAGAUUAGAAAUUUGAAGUGGAAAACUCGGAAGACAGAAGUACAGGAAGGUGAAGAAAAGACUAGAGAAGAUAGGAAAAGUAGAAGAUAAAAAUACGCCUGUUAGAAGACAGAAAAACUAAUUUUAGCCCAGAAGGUAGAAGGCGGAAGAAAAAGUAGACAAAACUAGAAGAGAGAAAGAAGGUUGAACAUACGGUCGAGUAUUUCAGAUAGAAAAUGAAAAACAAGCUAUUGGACAUAAGCAUACCAGAUAGACGUCAAAAAAAAAUUAGAAGAUGCGAAAGUUCAAGGCCAAAAAGUUGGAUAAAGUAAAGGAACAAAAACUAAGGAAAAUAAUUUUUUAUAGUUAAAAGAAUUAUAAAAGCCCAUCAACUUAAUUCUGGUGGUGCAGAAGUUAGAUUUGAGAAGAUGAGGGUUUUUAAACUGCUGUAGGUCAGGACCAACUUAGAAGACUAUCCCAAAACGAGAAGGGAAGUCAGUUUAAAAUCACAGCAAAAAGCUACUAAAAGGACUGAAGUAAUUUAAAAACUAAGAAUGUUUUUGGAAGAGUUAAACAUUUGAAAGGCUGUAAAUACAGUAGCUUAGUUUCCUUUGGAAAAUUUAAAGGACUUUGUAACUGAAGGAAAUCCAAGAGCAAGAAUAAUCGUCAAGUUAACAUUUUUGCAUUGGACUUUGCGCUAAGAUGAAAUUUUAAAUUCUGAGGACUAGGCGCUAAUUAACAGCUGACCCAGGUGCUACACAGAAGUGGAUUCAGUGAAUCUAGGAAGACAGGAGCCGCAGACAGGAUUCCAGGAGCCAGUGUUUGGUGAAACUAGGACUGAGGAGCAAGCGGCAGUUCGUGAAUAUAGGAAAGAGGAGCCCGGGAGCCAGUGCGAUUUGGUGAAGGAAGCUAGGAAGAAGGAAGGAGCCCUAACGAUUUGGAGGUGAAGCUAGGAGAGGAUCCCAGGAAGGAGGAGGCCAGUGCGAUGUGGUGAUGAAGCUAGCGUGCGGCUUGGCUUGGCAACCACGCGGAGGAGGCGAGCAGGCGGUGUGGAGGAUAGAUAGAGGAUCCUAGAGCGGCAGCCCAGUGUGCCAGGCCCGCAGGGAGAGCCAGUGGUGUGGUAAAACCGUGAGGUCGGCCAUAUCGUGGGUUGUUUUCUUCUCUUUAAUUUUUUUUUAUGUAAUUGAGUAUGGUAAUAUCUUUGAAUUUCCUAAUGGUAAUGGGGGAGUUGUGUACUUAAGCAUAAAGGGUUUUAUGGGGAUAUAGGCCGAUUUUCGGGUGUCGUAGGUUUCUCUUUUGCAGGCCUAUUUUCUCAUGCAUCUUUUCUGGAGCUUUUGAGGGCAGACUUCCAAGGCCCGGAGGAAUGGUAGAUGGCAAGUGUUUUUGUUUUUAACCAAUAUGAGGGAAAACAAAUGGAUUUGAUAGAACGACUUUGAGAGGAUUUCAGCAAGUUGUGUAAGCAGGUUUUAUAUUUAGCUUGGGGUAAUGAAGCAUUUCAAUUUCGUGAAUAGAGGACCUAUUUUUCUUUCUCACCCUGUAUUCUAAAAGUUUUCUGAAUAUGUAGCUUGGGUGUGUAAUUGUGGGGGGAAAGUUUUGGGGGGGCAAAAUAUGUUUUGAGUUUUUUUCCCUUUAGGUCUGUCUAGAAUUCCAAAGGCAAAUGACUCAAGGUAACAGGAAAAAAGAAAAUCCAGUAUCAGGAUUAUCAGAACACCACAGGUUUACAGUUUGUAGAAACGAGAGCACAAGCAGCUCUCAUUUGAGGUCUGGCGGAGCUGUCCAUGGGAGAAAUGGCUGGUAGUUAUUCUGUUUUUCCACCCCUUAAUCAGACAUUUUUUAAAGUACGUAACUGGUUAUUUUUACUUAAAGUAUUUUGGGGACGAGGGUGGGGGAGAAAAUGUUUCUCUAAGAUUUUCCACAGAUGCUAUAGUACUAUUGACAAACUGAGUUAGAGAAGGAUUGUACUGCUACGCUGUUUGGCACCAACGCCUUCAGGGAUUGGAGCUGCUUUUUUCCUUGGAAGAGUAUUCCCAGUGAAGCUGAAAUGCACAGCACAGUGCAGCUUUGGUUCAUACUCAGUCAUCUCAGGAGAACUUCAGAAGAGCUUGACUAGGUCAAAUGUUGAAGUUAAGUUUUCAAAUAAUGUAACUUUUAAGCUAACUUAUUAAAGGGGAGGGGCAGAUUUUGGCAAUUAGUUGGCAGUGGCCUAUGGUUGGGAUUGGGAGGGUUGGGUUUAGGUAAUUGUUUAGUUUAUGAUUUCAGAUAACUCAUACCAGAGAACUUAAAUACUUAGGAUGGAAAACUAAAGAACUCUCAACUUCCAAGGUGGCAAGUAACUCCCAAUUUUCUAGUUUCUGUUUUUCCCCAGUUUUUGAAUUUGACAGCUGGGGAAGUUCAUGAAGAUUGACUGGAUUUAAAGUGUAGGGCUUGGGGAAGGAAAAUGGUGGACUGGGGGUUGGUCUAGCCCACUGGGCUGCCUUAGAUUAAAAACUUGGGAAUUUUUUAAAUGCUUAAGUUGUUUGCAUAUGGUAGUGUGUGGUUCUCUUUUGGAAUUUUUUUCAGGUGGUUUAAUAAAACUUAAUACUACUAUAGGAGCUUCAGAGCAAAGGAAGUGGCUUAAUGAUCCUGAAGGGAUUUCUUCUGAUGGUAGCUUUUAUAUUAUCAAACUUUUUUCAGAUAACAACUUCUGAGUCAUAACCAGCCUGGCAGUAUGAUGGCCUAGAUCGAGAGGGGAACAGCUCCUUGGUGAAUGAUAAGUAAAGGCAGAAAAGAUUAUAUAUCAUAUCUACAUGGGGGAAAAAGCAUAACCCUGAGAUCCUUAACUACUGAUGAACAAACACAUUGUCUGCAUAUGCCAAAAAAAAUUAAGCAAAUGAAAGCUACCAAUUUAAAGUUAAUGGAAUCUACCACUUUAAAGUUUGGCUUAUCAAGCUGUAUCCACAAAAAUAAUGAAUUGAUGAGAAAUGAAAUGAUGAAAUACAAUGAAGAUCAAAUGUCCAUCUCAAUACUGCUUUUACAAAAGCAGAAUAAAAAAGCGAAAUGAAAUGAAAAUGAUAAUGCUACACAUUAAUCCUGGAAUAAAAGAAGCUGAAAUAAUUGAAAUGAGUGGGAUCAAGUGGAUUGAGGAGGAGGCUGUGCUGUUUGCCAAUCUUUCGUUUGCCUCAGACAGGUUUCUCAUUAUCAGAAGAGUUGCUUCAUUUCAUCUGGGAGCAGAAAACAGCAGGCAGCUGUUAACAGAUAAGUUUAACUUGUAUCUGCAGUAUUGCAUGAUAGGGAUAAGUGCUUACCUUUGCUAAGAGCUGUGGAGGUCCUAGGUCCCUUACCUAAGGGAUUCCGGGAUUGUGAGGGAUUUUCCUAUCCAGCCUUUUAAAAUUAGACAGGACUUAGUGUGCCUGUGGGCUUCCAUGAUGGGUUAGCACACUUCACUCAGAGGCUAGUAAUUCCUUAAAGCCUCUUGAGAUUAAUAAAGGUAAUGUGUGUAAUACUAAGAACAUUUGUUUAGCAUUGAAUCUCUGAAAAGCCUAUUGAAGGGUAGCAUAAUGUGCUGUUAACCAGAAUUCAGAUUGUUAAUCUUGCUAAAAUUUAAAUGUUAUGAUGUGUAUUGUGCAGAAAACCGUUAAAUUAUUCAAAAUAAAAUACUUUGUAGAGAAUGUAUGCUUUUAGAAAGCUGUCUCCUUAUUUAAAUAAAAUUGUUUGUCUGUAGUUAGUGUUGGGCAAUCUUGGGGGGAUUCUUCUCAUCUUUCAGAAACUUUGAACACUUUAACGGACAAGAUCAGGAGUUGAGCGGAAGAACGAAUUUAACUUAAGGCAGGAAAAACAAAUUUUAUCCUUCGUAAAAGUGAUGAGCAUUUAAUAAUUCCAGGCACAUGGCAAUAGAGGCCCUCUAAAUAAGGAAUAAAUACCUCUUAGACAGGUGGGAGAUUAUGAUCAGGAAAACAGGUAACACCUACGCUGUUUUCAGAAAGUCAGGAGUCUAGUGGUUAAACUAGAGUAAUGAGAGAUCAUACUGUCCACGUUUCCAGUUUGCAUGUUAACUUUAAAUGCUUACAGUCGUGUUAUCUAGUGGUAGCUGAUGUUUACACUAUUGGCCUUUUAUAUAGGCACUUGGUGUGGGGGAGGGCAUGUGGGUUUUUAAAGAAUUUUCCUUUGCAGAGGCUUCAUUUCAUCCUUCAUGAAGCUGUUCAGGAUUUUGACUUGCAUAUAAGCACUUGGCUCUGCCUUCUGUUCUCCUAGUGAGUGUGAGACCUUGCAGUGAGUUUAUCAGCAUACUCAAGUAAAUUUUUCCCCCCUGAUUUUGGAGGGAAGGGAGGAGAGGGUGGGGCUUACUUGUUUUAGUUUUUUUUUGCAGACUACACAGAAUGCAGUUGUCUUGAUCUCAGGUCUGUCUGUUCUGUUGGCAAGUAAUGCAGUACUGUUCUGAUCCGCUGCUAUUAGAAUGCAUUGUGAAACAACUGGAGUAUGAUUAAAAGUUGUGUUUUCCCCAAUGCUUGGAAUAGUGAUUGUUGAAGGAAAAUCCAGCUGAGUAAUAAAAGGCUGAGUGUUGAGGAAAUUUCUGCAGCUUUAAGCAUUCGUGUUUGUGAUUGAAGCAAAGUCCCUUUUGCUGUGCUUUUAGGUAAAAUGCUUUUUUGUUCACUUCUGGUAAGGGGGUGGGAGGGCACUGAAGCCUUUAGUCUUUUCCAGAUGCAACUUUAAAAUCAGUGACAAGAAAUAAAUUUCAAACGAACAACAGUCUUCACGAAAUUUAACUGGCAAGUGGAAAUGUUUAACAACAGUUCAGUGGUCUUAGUGCAUUGUCUUUGUGCCGGGUUUCUCUCUCCCCUCCCUUGGUCUUAAUUCUUAUAUACAGGAACAUUCAAAACAACAGACGUAUGCGAAGGGCCAGAGAAGCCAGACCCAGUAAGGAAAAAUAGCUUAUUUACUUUUAAUAAACAAACCAAACAUUGCAUUUUAAAUGUGGGGAUUGGGAACCACUAGUUCUUUCAGAUGGUAUUCUUCAGACUAUAGAAGGAGCUUCCAGUUGAAUUCACCAGUGGACAAAAUGAGGACAACAGGUGAACAAGCUUUUUCUAUAUUUACAUACCAAGUCAGAUCUGUUAUGGGUAAUUCAGUACUAAAUGACCUUCCAGCUUUACGCUGGUGUCAACAGCAUGAGCAAGUUGUUUGUUGGCCUGGGGGUGGAGGGGUGAGGUGGGCGCUAAGCCUUUUUUUAAGAUUUUUCAGGUAACCCUCACUAAAAGCACCGAAGGCUUAAAGUAGGACAACCACGGAGCCUUCCUGUGGCAAGAGAGACAGCAAAGCGCUAUUAUACCAAGGUCAAUCAGAAUGGUGUCGGCCUCUCAACCCCAUCUUCUGUUAGGAAAUGAGGACUUGCCUCAACGACACCCUGUGCAGACACUGCAUUGAGGCUGUCUUUUUGGGGAGUGAAGCAUCCAAACGAAUGCUCGAGUACCUUGUAUACCCUGGGCUUGUCCUAACAUACAACUCAGCUGUUUUUAUAGCAGCUCUUAAUAAAGCCCAAACCUCAAAAAGUGAUGCUUGAAGGGGAGGGAAAGGGGGAAAGCGGGCAACCACUUUUCCCUAGCUUUUCCAGAAGCCUGUUUAAAAAGCAAGGUCUCCCCACAAGUGACUUCUCUGCCACAUCGCCACCCCCUGCCUUUGGCCUAGCGCAGACCCUUCACCCCUCACCUCGAUGCUGCCGGUAGCUUGGAUCCUUGUGGGCAUGAUCCAUAAUCGGUCUUAAGGUAAUUGGUGUCAAGGUCUUCCGGUGGGUUGCACUACUAGAAAUGACCAUUAAUUUGCCUGCAAAUAGUUAAUGAUAUUAAGACCACAACUAAAAAGCUCUAAGAUGUUUCAGAUGUGUGGCAUUAUUAUCCAGUGAUUAAAAGAAACUUAAACCAGUAAAUGGAGAAAUAACAUUUAAGAACUGUCAUGUUGGGUGGGAAGGUAUAAACUGAAGUAGACAGGCACUUUAGCAGUUGAGAGGGGCUGUUGGGGGGGAUUGCAAAAAUUCUCUGCUAAGACUUUUUCAGGUGAACAUAACAGACUUGGCCAAGCUAGCAUCUUAGCUGAAGCAGAUUCUCCAGUGCUCUUCAGUAGGGUUAUUUAUAAAGGUUUUUCUUUUCCUGAGAAAACAAAAGGUUUUGUUUUCUCAGGUUUUGCUUUUUGGCCUUUUCCUAGCUUUAAAAAAAAAAAGCAAAAGAUGCUGGUGGUUGGCACUCCUGGUUUCCAGGACGGGGUUCAAAUCCCUGUGGCAUCUUUGCUUGACUUUGACCUCUGCUCUCAGGACUCUUUUACGUUUUUCUUCUUUUGCUUCAGGUGCUAGACUCUAGAGUUAGGGGAGGUGGAAGAUAAAAGUAGCUUCAAACUAUAUCUUUUCAUUUGUCAGAAGUCUGAACUGGUUUGUAUUUGUAUUUACAUAGGAACCUAAUAUAAUAACUGCAUUGUCUUUAAUUUUCAGGUAUUCCUCACGUAUCUAGUGUUUGGAGAAGUCUCACUAUUGAAAUUUUUAAUUACAUAUUAAUAAAAAUUAAAAAGCUU